RNAcentral lists this ribosomal RNA (770 nucleotides) under uncultured bacterium. RNAcentral describes it as "bacterial SSU rRNA". It matches the Rfam family "Bacterial small subunit ribosomal RNA", at positions 28 to 811 of the family's 1533-position model. The record is from RNAcentral.
GACGAACGCUGGCGGCGCGCCUAACACAUGCAAGUCGAACGAGCGAGAGAGAGCUUGCUUUCUCGAGCGAGUGGCGAACGGGUGAGUAACGCGUGAGGAACCUGCCUCAAAGAGGGGGACAACAGUUGGAAACGACUGCUAAUACCGCAUAAGCCCACGGCUCGGCAUCGAGCAGGGGGAAAAGGAGCAAUCCGCUUUGAGAUGGCCUCGCGUCCGAUUAGCUAGUUGGUGAGGUAACGGCCCACCAAGGCGACGAUCGGUAGCCGGACUGAGAGGUUGAACGGCCACAUUGGGACUGAGACACGGCCCAGACUCCUACGGGAGGCAGCAGUGGGGAAUAUUGCACAAUGGGGGAAACCCUGAUGCAGCGACGCCGCGUGGAGGAAGAAGGUCUUCGGAUUGUAAACUCCUGUUGUUGGGGAAGAUAAUGACGGUACCCAACGAGGAAGUGACGGCUAACUACGUGCCAGCAGCCGCGGUAAAACGUAGGUCACAAGCGUUGUCCGGAAUUACUGGGUGUAAAGGGAGCGCAGGCGGGAAGACAAGUUGGAAGUGAAAUCUAUGGGCUCAACCCAUAAACUGCUUUCAAAACUGUUUUUCUUGAGUAGUGCAGAGGUAGGCGGAAUUCCCGGUGUAGCGGUGGAAUGCGUAGAUAUCGGGAGGAACACCAGUGGCGAAGGCGGCCUACUGGGCACCAACUGACGCUGAGGCUCGAAAGUGUGGGUAGCAAACAGGAUUAGAUACCCUGGUAGUCCACACCGUAAAUGAUG